CACGUAGGCGGACUCUUAAGUCGGGGGUGAAAUCCUGGAGCUCAACUCCAGAACUGCCUUCGAUACUGGGAGCCUUCGAGUUCGGGAGAGGUGAGUGGAACUGCGAGUGUAGAGGUGAAAUUCGUAGAUAUUCGCAAGAACACCAGUGGCGAAGGCGGCUCACUGGCCCGAUACUGACGCUGAGGUGCGAAAGCGUGGGAGCAAACA
Molecule: ribosomal RNA, 207 nt
Filed under: uncultured bacterium
Lineage: Bacteria
Description: partial 16S ribosomal RNA
Rfam family: Bacterial small subunit ribosomal RNA
Source: RNAcentral